Molecule: small RNA, 1730 nt
Filed under: Pan troglodytes (chimpanzee)
Lineage: Eukaryota; Metazoa; Chordata; Mammalia; Primates; Hominidae
Description: retained intron
Source: RNAcentral
UGCUGGUGGCGGGUGUGGUGUCGGCCAUGGUGUGCAUGGUGAAGACGGAGAGCCCUGUGCUGACCAGUUCCUGCAGAGAGCUGCUCUCCAGGGUCUUCUUGGCUUUAGUGGAAGAGGUAGAGGACCGAGGCACUGUGGUUGCCCAGGGAGGCGGCAGGGUAAGCUGGUUUACACACCCCUUCCUGAUGGCUGAGCCAUCAGCCUAUAAAACAUGACUCAGCAGCUGCCACGCCAGAGCUGGGUGUUAGAUGCGGAACAGAAAAACAUUAAUGGCCAGAGGAACACUGUCCCGCUGAGAGAGUGACGCGGAAGCAGGCAAGCUCCUUGGCCCCUCCAUACUGGUGCCUGUGAAGGUCCUAGGCUCUACUGUUCCUUUGUCUCAUUUACCCCCAUGGCCCUGGUGCUCAGCACAAUCCAUGUCCAGCCCUUAUUAGGUGUUUCAGGAAGUGUUUGGAUGCAGAGGGUCUGCACAGGGAGUCAAGCCUGGGGAGAGGGAGGAAGGUGAGGGUGGCACAGUCAGGGCUGGGGAGCCUGAUGGUCGGGGUCUUACUCCCAGGGAUGUCCUGAGCAGUGACGGGCUUGUUCCUACAGGCGCUGAUCCCGCUGGCCCUGGAAGGCACGGACGUGGGGCAGACAAAGGCAGCCCAGGCCCUUGCCAAGCUCACCAUCACCUCCAACCCGGAGAUGACCUUCCCUGGCGAGCGGAUCUAUGAGGUGGUCCGGCCCCUCGUCUCCCUGUUGCACCUCAACUGCUCAGGCCUGCAGAACUUCGAGGCGCUCAUGGCCCUAACAAACCUGGCUGGGAUCAGCGAGAGGCUCCGGCAGAAGAUCCUGAAGGAGAAGGCUGUGCCCAUGAUAGAAGGCUACAUGUUUGAGGAGCAUGAGAUGAUCCGCCGGGCAGCCACGGAGUGCAUGUGUAACUUGGCCAUGAGCAAGGAGGUGCAGGACCUCUUCGAAGCCCAGGGCAAUGACCGACUGAAGCUGCUGGUGCUGUACAGUGGAGAGGAUGAUGAGCUGCUACAGCGGGCAGCUGCCGGGGGCUUGGCCAUGCUUACCUCCAUGCGGCCCACGCUCUGCAGCCGCAUUCCCCAAGUGACCACACACUGGCUGGAGAUCCUGCAGGCCCUGCUUCUGAGCUCCAACCAGGAGCUGCAGCACCGGGGUGCUGUGGUGGUGCUGAACAUGGUGGAGGCCUCGAGGGAGAUUGCCAGCACCCUGAUGGAGAGUGAGAUGAUGGAGAUCUUGUCAGUGCUAGCUAAGGGUGACCACAGCCCUGUCACAAGGGCUGCUGCAGCCUGCCUGGACAAAGCAGUGGAAUAUGGGCUUAUCCAACCCAACCAAGAUGGAGAGUGAGGGGGUUGUCCCUGGGCCCAAGGCUCAUGCACACGCUACCUAUUGUGGCACGGAGAGUAAGGACGGAAGCAGCUUUGGCUGGUGGUGGCUGGCAUGCCCAAUACUCUUGCCCAUCCUCGCUUGCUGCCCUAGGAUGUCCUCUGUUCUGAGUCAGCGGCCACGUUCAGUCACACAGCCCUGCUUGGCCAGCACUGCCUGCAGCCUCACUCAGAGGGGCCCUUUUUCUGUACUACUGUAGUCACCUGGGAAUGGGGAAGGUGCAUCCCAACACAGCCUGUGGAUCCUGGGGCAUCCGGAAGGGCGCACACAUCAGCAGCCUCACCAGCUGUGAGCCUGCUAUCAGGCCUGCCCCUCCAAUAAAAGUGUGUAGAACUCCA